This 429-nucleotide ribosomal RNA is filed under the name Gemmatimonadota bacterium. RNAcentral describes it as "Gemmatimonadetes bacterium partial 16S ribosomal RNA". It matches the Rfam family "Bacterial small subunit ribosomal RNA", at positions 355 to 776 of the family's 1533-position model. Lineage: Bacteria; Pseudomonadati; Gemmatimonadota. The record is from RNAcentral.
UAGGGAAUCUUCGGCAAUGGACGAAAGUCUGACCGAGCAACGCCGCGUGAGUGAAGAAGGUUUUCGGAUCGUAAAACUCUGUUGUUAGAGAAGAACAAGGACGUUAGUAACUGAACGUCCCCUGACGGUAUCUAACCAGAAAGCCACGGCUAACUACGUGCCAGCAGCCGCGGUAAUACGUAGGUGGCAAGCGUUGUCCGGAUUUAUUGGGCGUAAAGCGAGCGCAGGCGGUUUCUUAAGUCUGAUGUGAAAGCCCCCGGCUCAACCGGGGAGGGUGAUUGGAAACUGGGAGACUUGAGUGCAGAAGAGGAGAGUGGAAUUCCAUGUGUAGAGGUGAAAUGCGUAGAUAUAUGGAGGAACACCAGUGGCGAAGGAGGCUGUCUGGUCUGUAACUGACGCUGAGGAUCGAAAGCGUGGGGAGCAAACAGG